AUGCCGGCGACGUGCGCGGCCUUCUUGAACGAGAAGUGGGUCUGGUCGGAGCAGUAGACGACGAGGUCGCCCAUCCUCUCCUCGCCUCCAACUUCCGCGAGCUUCCGGUCCCUCGCGGCGACGAUGGUGCAGAGCAUGGCCUCGCACGACGUCCCCAGCAGCGUGCCGCCUCCGCCACCGCAGAAGAGCAGCUGCUCCGGGAGGUGUAGCGCCUUACCCAGCCAAUCUGUAACAACGGUCUCGAGCUCGGUGGCCGCCGGCGAGGCGGCCCAGGUGAAAGGGUUGAUGUUGAGGCCCGCGGCGAGGGCCUCGCCGAGCGCGCCCACGUUGCUGGCCGUCGCCGCGAAGUGCGCGAAAUGACGGGGGCUCUGCCAGUGGGUGACGCCGGGAAGGAUGAGGUCCCGGACGUCGCGCAGCGCCGAGGCGAGCGCGUCGGGCUCCGGCCACGACGGCGCGGUGUCGGGAAGCUGCCGGGCUAGGAACCCGGGAGCGACGGCCGGGCGGACGGGGUACUCGUCAAUGUGGUCGUAG
This 531-nucleotide ribosomal RNA is filed under the name Triticum aestivum (bread wheat). RNAcentral describes it as "partial small subunit ribosomal RNA". The record is from RNAcentral. Lineage: Eukaryota; Viridiplantae; Streptophyta; Magnoliopsida; Poales; Poaceae.